AACGAACGCUGGCGGCAUGCCUAACACAUGCAAGUCGAACGAGAACUUCGGGCUUAGUGGCGAAUGGAUGGGCAAAGGGGUGGAACAUGCGUGUAGGUUCGGAAUUACUCAGAGAAAUAUGAGCGAAAACCGGAUGAUGUUUUCGGACCGGAGAUUUAUCGACUUUAGUUGGGGCCGCGUUGUUUUGGUUUGUGGUGGGGGUCAAGGCCUUCCAAGGGGAGGUGGCGUAGCUGGUUUGAGAGGAUGAACAGCCACACUGGGACUGGGACACGGCCCCGACUCCUACGGGAGGUGGCAAUGGGGAAUAUAGGACAGUGGGCCUAAUCCUGAGCCAGCGCUGCCGCGUGAGUGAUGUAGGCCUUGGGGUUGUAAAGCUCUUUUACCCGAGAUUAUUAUGACAGUACCGGGAGAAUAAGCACCGGCUAACUCCGUG
This 433-nucleotide ribosomal RNA is filed under the name uncultured bacterium. RNAcentral describes it as "partial 16S ribosomal RNA". It matches the Rfam family "Bacterial small subunit ribosomal RNA", at positions 29 to 507 of the family's 1533-position model. The record is from RNAcentral.